RNAcentral lists this ribosomal RNA (244 nucleotides) under Bacillus thuringiensis. RNAcentral's name for it is "partial 16S ribosomal RNA". It matches the Rfam family "Bacterial small subunit ribosomal RNA", at positions 1 to 232 of the family's 1533-position model. The record is from RNAcentral. Lineage: Bacteria; Bacillati; Bacillota; Bacilli; Caryophanales; Bacillaceae. RNAcentral also lists the same sequence under 4 other names.
UUUAUUGGAGAGUUUGAUCCUGGCUCAGGAUGAACGCUGGCGGCGUGCCUAAUACAUGCAAGUCGAGCGAAUGGAUUGAGAGCUUGCUCUCAAGAAGUUAGCGGCGGACGGGUGAGUAACACGUGGGUAACCUGCCCAUAAGACUGGGAUAACUCCGGGAAACCGGGGCUAAUACCGGAUAACAUUUUGAACUGCAUGGUUCGAAAUUGAAAGGCGGCUUCGGCUGUCACUUAUGGAUGGACCC